CCCAGUGUGGUAUAGUGGUUUGAGCGUUGGACUGUGAUUCUGAAGACCAGGGUUUGAAUCCUGGCUCGGACA
This 72-nucleotide transfer RNA is filed under the name Phrynosoma platyrhinos (Desert horned lizard). Its description in RNAcentral is "tRNA-OTHER". The record is from RNAcentral. Lineage: Eukaryota; Metazoa; Chordata; Lepidosauria; Squamata; Phrynosomatidae.